AACACUGUUAACCUGCGGUACCUGCGGAGGGAUCAUUGCUGGAACGCGCUUCGGCGCACCCAGAAACCCUUUGUGAACUUAUACCUAUUUGUUGCCUCGGCGUAGGCCGGCCUCUUCACUGAGGCCCCCUGGAAACAGGGAGCAGCCCGCCGGCGGCCAACUAAACUCUUGUUUCUGUAGUGAAUCUCUGAGUAAAAACAUAAAUGAAUCAAAACUUUUAACAACGGAUCUCAGAUCGGA
This 240-nucleotide unclassified non-coding RNA is filed under the name soil metagenome. RNAcentral's name for it is "partial contains 5.8S ribosomal RNA, internal transcribed spacer 2, and large subunit ribosomal RNA". The record is from RNAcentral.